This 326-nucleotide ribosomal RNA is filed under the name uncultured eukaryote. Its description in RNAcentral is "partial 18S ribosomal RNA". It matches the Rfam family "Eukaryotic small subunit ribosomal RNA", at positions 1470 to 1796 of the family's 1831-position model. The record is from RNAcentral.
CCCUUAGAUGUCCUGGGCUGCACGCGCGCUACACUGACACGUUCAACGAGUUUUGCCUGCUCCGAUGGGACUGGGUAAUCUUAUGAAAGCGUGUCGUGAUGGGGAUAGAUUAUUGCAAUUAUUAAUCUUCAACGAGGAAUUCCUAGUAAGUACAAGUCAUCAGCUUGUGCUGAUUACGUCCCUGCCCUUUGUACACACCGCCCGUCGCACCUACCGAUUGGAUGGUCCGGUGAAGCCUCGGGAUUGUGGUUCUUGCCGCUUUAUUGUGGCGUGACCGCGAGAACUUGUCUAAACCUUAUCAUCUAGAGGAAGGUGAAGUCGUAACA